Molecule: ribosomal RNA, 305 nt
Filed under: uncultured bacterium
Lineage: Bacteria
Description: bacterial SSU rRNA
Rfam family: Bacterial small subunit ribosomal RNA
Source: RNAcentral
ACGGGAGGCAGCAGUGAGGAAUAUUGGUCAAUGGACGAGAGUCUGAACCAGCCAAGUAGCGUGAAGGAUGACUGCCCUAUGGGCUGUAAACUUCUUUUAUAUGGGAAUAAAGUUUUCCACGUGUGGAAUUUUGUAUGUACCAUAUGAAUAAGGAUCGGCUAACUCCGUGCCAGCAGCCGCGGUAAUACGGAGGAUCCGAGCGUUAUCCGGAUUUAUUGGGUUUAAAGGGAGCGUAGGUGGAUUGUUAAGUCAGUUGUGAAAGUUUGCGGCUCAACCGUAAAAUUGCAGUUGAAACUGGCAGUCUU